ACCACCGUCUUGUGAUUGAGUGGGAGCUGGACUACUAGAUGAGAAGAGAUAUGGCCCAGCUAGCCUCAUCACUCUCUGCAAAACUCAACCAACUGCAAGCUGUACACGAGGCCAUAGCCUGCCGGUUGAUCCUGGGGCCACAGGGCUUCUCAAACUCCAGGAUGCAUCAGAGUCACAGGGAGAUACACAGUGGUAGAUCCAACCCAGAGCUUCUUUCUUUUUGCACCAACAGCAUUUGUUUCACCCUGCUAGAUGCUGGAGGAGAUUUUUUAAAAAAGAACUUAUUUCAUUCUUAA
This 296-nucleotide long non-coding RNA is filed under the name Bos indicus x Bos taurus (hybrid cattle). Its description in RNAcentral is "lncRNA (ENSBIXG00000022187.1)". The record is from RNAcentral. Lineage: Eukaryota; Metazoa; Chordata; Mammalia; Artiodactyla; Bovidae.